Molecule: ribosomal RNA, 449 nt
Filed under: uncultured bacterium
Lineage: Bacteria
Description: partial 16S ribosomal RNA
Rfam family: Bacterial small subunit ribosomal RNA
Source: RNAcentral
AGCGAACGCUGGCGGCAGGCCUAACACAUGCAAGUCGAACGAAGCCUUCGGGCUUAGCGGCGGACGGGUGAGUAACACGUGGGAACGUACCUUUAGGUUCGGAACAACUCAGGGAAACUUGAGCUAAUACCGGAUAAGCCCUUCGGGGGAAAGAUUUAUCGCCUUUAGAGCGGCCCGCGUUAGAUUAGCUAGUUGGUGAGGUAAAGGCUCACCAAGGCUACGAUCUAUAGCUGGUCUGAGAGGAUGAUCAGCCACACUGGGACUGAGACACGGCCCAGACUCCUACGGGAGGCAGCAGUGGGGAAUCUUGCGCAAUGGGCGAAAGCCUGACGCAGCCAUGCCGCGUGAAUGAUGAAGGUCUUAGGAUUGUAAAAUUCUUUUACCAGGGACGAUAAUGACGGUACCUGGAGAAAAGGCCCCGGCUAACUUCGUGCCAGCCGCCGCCGUAA